Molecule: ribosomal RNA, 468 nt
Filed under: uncultured bacterium
Lineage: Bacteria
Description: partial 16S ribosomal RNA
Rfam family: Bacterial small subunit ribosomal RNA
Source: RNAcentral
GACGAACGCUGGCGGCGUGCUUAACACAUGCAAGUCGAACGGAAAGGCCCUGCUUUUGUGGGGUGCUCGAGGGGCGAACGGGUGAGUAACACGUGAGUAACCUGCCCUUGACUGUGGGAUAACUUCAGGAAACUGGGGCUAAUACCGGAUAGGAGCUCCUGCUGCAUGGGGGGGGUUGGAAAGCUUCGGCGGUUGGGGAUGGACUCGCGGCUUAUCAGCUUGUUGGUGGGGUAGUGGCUUACCAAGGCUUUGACGGGUAGCCGGCCUGAGAGGGUGACCGGCCACAUUGGGACUGAGAUACGGCCCAGACUCCUACGGGAGGCAGCAGUGGGGAAUAUUGCACAAUGGGCGGAAGCCUGAUGCAGCAACGCCGCGUGCGGGAUGACGGCCUUCGGGUUGUAAACCGCUUUCGCCUGUGACGAAGCGUGAGUGACGGUAAUGGGUAAAGAAGCACCGGCUAACUACGUG